RNAcentral lists this long non-coding RNA (362 nucleotides) under Homo sapiens (human). RNAcentral describes it as "non-protein coding MANEA-DT:25". The record is from RNAcentral. Lineage: Eukaryota; Metazoa; Chordata; Mammalia; Primates; Hominidae.
CGGAGCCUCCGGUCGCGGGUCUAAGAGGACUAGGGCGGGAGCGGCGCGGAAGAAAGAGAGGACUGCGUUUUGGGGCGUUCUGUCAGAGGGGAAGGACGUGUGGAUUGGAGUCAGACUGCACUCCCGCCCUAUUUCUGUCGCUUAGAAACUAGUACUCUCAGAACAUGGAGUGGAAGAGGUGAUCAUGGUAGCAACAGACUGAGGAGUGAAUUUGAACUUGAGUUUUGUCUUGCUGUUUUUCAUUGAUGGAACCCAACUGGAAAUCAGAAUACAAGGGCACUCGAUUAAUUCAGUUCACAGAGGACUUCUUCCUGUGGCACGGAGCAUGGUGGGGAAAGGUACAAAGUAGACCUCGAGAAACA